GCGACACUCCCGUAGACUUCUAUAGAAAGAAUGGAAUGCGGAAGUCACGUGGUCCAUGGAGCUGCAGAAAGUUCAAAAUGGCCGUUGCUCCAGCACUGUACGCAGUUCAUUUUCGGUCUUUUGGAGGCUUUUUUGCCGGGGACUGAUCUUCAGAGGUGAUCUGAGUGAAGACCAGGCUCGUGGAACUUGACGGUCCUGUCAGUGAUGGAGUGAUGAGGAUGCUGAGUAUCUGUGGCAUUUGGAAGCUCCAUGAAGGAUGCACUGGACCUGGUUCGGAAAAGCUUCUCAAUUUUCUGGACCAGACUGAAGGCUUCGUGUGAUGGACGACAGAGCACACCCGGUUUGAAUUCCUUCAAUGUCAGUAAUGCAUCAUGCUCUCCUUCCAGACUUUCAUCAUUUUGCACAAUCGCACUUUGGCAAACAUCACAGAUGUCGCAAAGUUUGAUGACUUUAUUUACAAUGUAUCCUGCAAGAUAGUAGAGAGUACAGGUUUCACUCUUUGAGAGAUCUGGAGUAUCUUUGUGGCCAGUCAGCUGGUCCACUCUCAGGCCAGGUCUGGGAGUUGUCUCCUUGUUGUCCAGGAACUCUGCCAAAAGACUGUUGUCAUCCUCCUGAUAGUUUCCUGAUUUGACUGUCACAAGAAACUGCCCAACUGAUAUUGAUCUGAGAGCCUGGUGGAACUCCACUGGUGUUGGGACAGGAUUCCUCUGCCUAAUGCAGCUGAACAAGUUUUCAAGACAGUCUUGGGUUUCCAGCUACCUGUUGGACCAAUCUUUAGACCACGGAAGAGUUGGAUCAUGUUGUGGAGAAACUCGAUGGCUUUGUGGUACUGUUCCAUCUUGUGCCUGCUCAGCGCCAUUACUGGGUGUCGGGAAGACAUGAUAUCGAACCAGUGGUUGACCUGCUCCAGAAACCAUGCUGUUGUCAGGUUAGAGGUAGGUCGCUGCUCCUUCUCCACCAUGUAUUUCAGACCUGCACUCGCUGACAUGCUGAAAACAUUCAUUGCAGGCCCCACCUUCAUUUUCUCAAAAUGACUGGGUUGAAGGGUUUUCUGACACAGAUUUGGAGCAAUUUUUAAUGGUGUUCCUUCUUGAAAAUCCACCAGAUCUUUCAAGGGUCUAAUGGAAACUUCGUUGUGAGGGAGACUCUCUUUUUCAACUAUCUCAGGUGGAAUUUUAAAUGUCUGUCCACGCACUAGUGCACUCUUCAAAUUUUUUACCAGAUGUGGGACAUCUGGCAUAAAGUACAGCCUCCUGUCUGGUCUCGCUGGGUGUGGGAUGGAUGUUUGGUUGUGGUCCACUCCAAAUGACCUCCACAUAGCCCGAUUAGGACUGCCCAUGUCAGUGGUGACAUUUACCACAUGAAGCCCUAUGGAAGCUGCUCUCUCGAUGAUUUCGGUGAUGACAGGCUUGUAGCUUGCCCCAUUGGUGGAAUUCCCACUGAAAUGGUAAGCGACUACUUGCUUCCAUCUCAGUGUGCUUCCUGCCAACAUGAAAACACAUGCAUGUGUUGCUGCUCCUGUAUGCCCAGGCAGUGUCACAUCCCCGAAAAGCUUCCCGGUUCCAAGGUGCAGCUCCACACCUGGUGUGAUGGCCAUCUCAUCUACAGUCAGCACACAUUCCUUCUCCAAAGCUCCAAGACUGUUUACCUUCAGCUCAAGCAUCUCAAAAACCUCUUCUAGCACACCUGGUUGCAGUUUGAUGUGUUCCAGUCUUCUUUGCAAGGUUCGGAUAUCAGGUAAAGGGUAAUCCAUAUCUUGUAGCUGCCUGUAACCCGUUGAGCCGGCUGAAAAACGGAGCUUUAUGGCUUUUUUUACAGUGUCUUUGCUCCACCUAAUACCUUUUUUGUUCUUCAUGCCAAUUGCCUUCAUCUGAUCCUUGGAAAACAUUUGACCCAAUUUUUUUUUCAUAGUGACAACUUUUUUGCGCAGGACUGCAUUCAUCUUUUUUUGUCUGCUAAAUGCUCUCUGUAACUUUCUCAACUGAUCUUUCUGGCUCUCUGAUUCUUCUCUCAGGUUUUGGAUGCUGAUUUCCUCCUCAAAUGAUUUUUCACUGGUUCCUGUCACUGUUGACCCCUGCACACUGGAUCCUGGCUCAUUUGUAUCUGGUUUGUCCCUCUCUUCUGAGUCCACAACUUCAUCUUCUCUCUGUCUCUCUCUUUCCCUUAUCUCACUUGCCUCAUUUCUGGUUCUCCCUUCCUCAACAUCUAAAAUGAAUAUGCCACUGUUAGUAAGAAGAUUAGUCAUUAAUUAAGAAAUGUAAAAAAAUAUUCCUCAACAGUACUAUGACUCAUACCAAAGUUAACUGUAGAAUAAUAUGUGUGGUCACUUCUAAGUGAAUUAACAUUUAGUGGAAGUUCUGGUGUACUUCUCAUUGCAGGACCCUUCCUUCUCCUUGGCGCUCGGCGGUGGACAAAAAGAGUUGGAACAGCAUCAGGCUUCAGUCUCACUUUGCCCGUCUUUGUCCUGUUAAACUGAUCUCCCUCAAAAUGUGCCUGCAGAGUAUCUCAUUAGUUUAAUUUCCAUACAUGUUGCAUUUUUAUUGAAGCAUAUGACAGAACAACAUGUUAAACCCUGAUUUAGAAUCUUUGUGUGUGCAGUAUAAACUUACCGCACACAGUUUUCUGUUAUUAUGAUCUCUGGAGAUGGAGAGAUUGCUCCUACUGACUUGGACUAGCCAUUUUUUUCUUCUCUCUGUGUCUUUAGGGAAGCCAUACAUUCUGGUCCCUUUUUCAGAGUGGCUGGUGCACCCAAAUGCAGCACAGCCUACCAUGAGUCCACUGAUGUUUCGAAGAGAUGGUCACUACCAAAUGAAGCAACUGCCAAGUUGAGAAGGAUGAACCCUCAUUGAAUGAACCUUUAAACAAUUAAUUGUUGCAGAUUCAACUAUUAAACAUUACAAGUAUUAGUAAAA
Molecule: long non-coding RNA, 2912 nt
Organism: Melanotaenia boesemani (Boeseman's rainbowfish)
Lineage: Eukaryota; Metazoa; Chordata; Actinopteri; Atheriniformes; Melanotaeniidae
Exons: 5
Source: RefSeq, a predicted model, not a curated record